This is a non-coding RNA of Theobroma cacao (cacao), 1237 nucleotides long. Lineage: Eukaryota; Viridiplantae; Streptophyta; Magnoliopsida; Malvales; Malvaceae. The record is from RefSeq and is a predicted model, not a curated record.
UUUUUAAUUUAUUUUUUCUCCUUUCUUCCUCACCUCCCUCCUUCCGCCCAUGCUUGCCAUCUCAUGCUUAGACAGGUCGAUGAUAUUAUGGUCAUUUUACGUCUUUUACAAUGGGCAUUUUGAACAUUUGACAUGUAGAUUUCUUUGGGCAUGGUGACGGUGAUAAUCACGAGGCAAAUUUGAUUAAUGAGAGAAGCUAGAAGCUUCUAGAUUGCAGAAAAAUGAGUUGUUUGUGUUGUGAAAGAAGAAAGCAUGAAGAAAACGGGAGAGGAGAACUUGGAGCAACGACAUUUUCUUUUUUACUUUCUUCGGCUAUUUUUUACUUGCUGCAGAAGUAGGAAAGAGAACUACUAGGGAUGAGUUUCAGACCAGAAAACAUUAUUCCAGGCAUCAUACUGUGUUUCAUAUUUGAGUUGUUGUUGGAUUUGUCAAAGCCCACUAAAACUCUUUCCAAGAAGAAGAAUUUCCUACCUGGAAAGCUUCAAGAACGAGACUUUGUUUCCACUAAUGCCGAACAAGACCUUAAAAUGCAAACAACAUGGUUAUUCUUUGGUGAGUCACUACGUUUAAGUUCAAGUUGGUGACUAUAAAAUUUAUUGGAUAAAAGGAUGAAAUUUCGUUUUCCAUGCGUGGUUUAUAAACCUUUUUGUUUUGUAGAGGUUUUGUGAAUAGACAGUUAAGAUUCUUUUAAUCGUGGAGGCAAGAGGCUUUGAACCCAACAUUGUGAUGCUGAAUGUGUUGAUCAAUGCCUUUGGUAUAGCUGGGAGACAUGAGGAGGCAUUAUCUAUUUACCACCAUAUAAGAGAGUGCGAGCCCUUUAUGUUAUGCAUGGAUAUGGGUGAAUUAGUGUUUUUGUUUUGUCUUUAUUUUUUCAUUUUAGGGUAGGCAUGAUAAUUCGUAAUGUAGGACUCUUGAUUUCCCCCAUUAAUUAAUCUUUCGGGAUACUUUUUUUCUAAUUUUGAUUUUCUAAUUGUUUUGAAGGGUAUUAGCCCCAAUGUGAUUGCUUAUAGCACGGUCAUGAAAGCUUUUAUUCGAGCAAAGAAAUUUGAUAAGGUUCUAACUAUAAUUGAAGUCUCUGAAGUUACUUGAUUAGCUGCAAAUUUAUCACAUGUCAUUUUGCUCAUUCAUGCUUGGCUUUCACUAGCUAGGUUCCGGAGGUUUCGGAAAUAUAUAGGGAUUUCAGCGAAUUUAUCACAGUCUUUGAAGUUACUUGAUUGCUAAUGUAUUUAGAUUUAUG